GACGAACGCUGGCGGCGUGCCUAAUACAUGCAAGUUGAGCGAUGAAGCUUGGUGCUUGCUCCAAUUUGAAGAGCAGCGAACGGGUGAGUAACGCGUGGGGAAUCUGCCUUUGAGCGGGGGACAACAUUUGGAAACGAAUGCUAAUACCGCAUAACAACUUUAAACAUAAGUUUUAAGUUUGAAAGAUGCAAUUGCAUCACUCAAUGAUGAUCCCGCGUUGUAUUAGCUAGUUGGUGAGGUAAAGGCUCACCAAGGCGAUGAUACAUAGCCGACCUGAGAGGGGUAUCGGCCACAUUGGGACUGAGACACGGCCCAAACUCCUACGGGAGGCAGCAGGAGGGAAUCUUCGGCAAUGGACGAAAGUCUGACCGAGCAACGCCGCGUGAGGGAAGAAGGGUUUCGGAUCGGAAAACUCUGUUGGUAGAGAAGAACGUUGGUGAGAGUGGAAAGCUCAUCAAGUGACGGUAACUACCCAGAAAGGGACGGCUAACUACGUG
Molecule: ribosomal RNA, 497 nt
Filed under: uncultured bacterium
Lineage: Bacteria
Description: partial 16S ribosomal RNA
Rfam family: Bacterial small subunit ribosomal RNA
Source: RNAcentral